CUUUAUGUAAUAUAUAGGCACCCACACUCUGUAUAUAGAAGGAUUCACUGUGCAGAGCAAUGAGUCUUUCAGUAUGCAAUUUAAAUCAAAAUUAUUCAACCCCCAUUGAAAGUCAUGUUUAUUGUCAAAAUGUACUGACAUUCAGCUGUUUUCUAAGAACAGAUCAAACAAGAGCAAUGGAAAUAGCUCAACACAAUGAAUGCUUCAAGUGGUUUCCCCAAAUUCAACUGAAACAUAAAAUAACUGCUCCAGUCUCAAAAUUUUUCAACCCCUACAUGACAAGCAUCUUUAGUUCCAAGUCGAACAUCCUUGUUGCUGUUAUGACCUGCUGCAAAUGAGAUGCAUAGCAAGACACCAAGUUCCUGAGGAAUUUU
This is a non-coding RNA of Pelobates cultripes (western spadefoot toad), 374 nucleotides long. NCBI's taxonomy places the organism in Eukaryota, Metazoa, Chordata, Amphibia, Anura, Pelobatidae. The record is from the annotation of a GenBank genome assembly.